UACGUAGGGGGCAAGCGUUGUCCGGAUUUAUUGGGCGUAAAGAGCGUGUAGGCGGCCUGGAAGGUCAGCUGUGAAAACUCGAGGCUCAACCUCGAGACGUCGGCGGAAACCAUCUGGCUAGAGUCCGGAAGAGGAGAGUGGAAUUCCUGGUGUAGCGGUGAAAUGCGCAGAUAUCAGGAAGAACACCCGUGGCGAAGGCGGCUCUCUGGGACGGUACUGACGCUGAGACGCGAAAGCGUGGGGAGCGAACAGG
Molecule: ribosomal RNA, 253 nt
Filed under: uncultured bacterium
Lineage: Bacteria
Description: partial 16S ribosomal RNA
Rfam family: Bacterial small subunit ribosomal RNA
Source: RNAcentral